UUAAUUGAGUACUAAUAUUUAAAUUUCCGGAGCACUAGUUUAUUAAUAAUGUGGCUUCCAAAAUUCACAGUGGCAACUGAUUUAAAACUUUAAACUGAUUAAAACAGAUUUGAAAUAUCCGCGCACUAAUUUAUUAACAACUUUAAUCAGAAAUACUCUUUUAUGUGAAACACACUUUUAUGUGUAAAACACGCAAAUUAAAUGGUGGGAGUUGAGCUGUCAAAAUUACUUCCUUAACUGUAGCUUAACUUAGCUGUCAAAAUAAUUUUCUGCUUCCAAAUUUUCGAGGAAAAUGCUGCUCCCUGGCAAUUUCGAAUAGAAGGAUUUUAUUCUCGAGAAAAGUAAAAUCCGCAAGAAAUGAAAUCCUCGGGGGAAUAUUCAGUAUUGGUCUGAUUUUGACAGCUCACACCGCACAAGUAAAAACAAAAUACAUGUAAAUUUUUGUUUGUGUGUAUUAAUUCGCCUUGGUAAAAAUUUUCCAGUCAAAAAUUUUUAGCUUUCCCUCCCAAAGAACUGACAUUUGCUCUCUCAAUUUCCUCUACUUUUGAAAAUCAUUUGCUACAUGAGAACGCAUAUUGACACGCUCUAACCGCAACAGUUCGGAACAAUUAUUUGAAAUAGAGCACUCUUAAAAUUUUCUUUUAAACUUUCCAACACUGUUUUCGCGCGAUCAGCUGACCAGCCGAAACAAAGCAGAAAAUUAAACAAAACAAAUUCACCGGUAAUUGCAAUUUUUACAACUUUCGAUACAAAGUGAAGUUGACCGGCAUUUGUAAAUUGUUUAUAUGAAUUCUAAGGAAUUUUCGAACCACCAACCGAACACGGCAUUACAAAGUAUCAAUUUUAAAUUGGAUAGUAGGUAACGUAUUCAAACCGCAAACAACUACCUUGGGGAGAAAACUGCGGCACACGUAGUACCAUUGCGAUAUAAAUCCUUGUCAGACAAUCUUGCGGCAAAGUAAGGCCACAAACACUUAUUAUGUUUAAGACAACUUGCUUUGAUAUAUGGCGUCAAGAGAAAGAAAUGCCCCGGCUUAUCACACUUUGCAAGGAGCUGGAUGAUAAGCUGGCUGGAGGCAUCGUUGCGGGAUUGAUUACAGAGUUUUGCGGCGGACCUGGUUGUGGUAAAACACAAAUGUGUUUGCAACUGUGUAUUAAUGUACAAUUUCCUCGGACAGUCGGUGGACUUCAAGGUAAAGCUGUUUAUCUGGACACGAAUCAGGACUUUAGUCCCACACGUUUGCUAGAAAUUGCCGUUUGCACAGAGAAGCGCUUCCACCGAACCUUACAUAAAACCGAUAUCCAUACUCAUGCCCAAAAUUCUUUCACAGCUAAUUCUAUAAUGAAUGGUGUUACAUAUAUUUACUGUCAAGGCUUUUUAAUGCUACAGGCUGCCGUAAAGAAAUUGCAUGAAAUGUUAAUGGAGGAUAAAGAGAUCAAACUAAUCGUCAUUGAUUCGUUCUCUUUUCCACUGCGUGUGAUUGAGGAAGUUUCCGAACGUACAGGAAUACUUUAUACCUUAUUGAGCGAGUUGCAACACUUAGCAGUGGAGUACAGACUCAUUGUUGUCAUAACAAACGAGUUGACCACGCGUGUGAAUGGGAAUGAUUGGAAAAUAUGUCCUGCACUUGGCGACAGCCAUGCACACAAAAUUAAUCAGCGCAUCAUCCUCAGUAAAUGUAAUGAACAAAAGUAUUAUGUUGCGUUGGUGGAGAAAUCUAACGUAGUACAACAAAUAGCGAUACCUUUUGUGAUCAAACAAAAUGGCAUACGAGAUAUAUCGUAACCCAUAUACAUACAUCCAGAGUCGCUUAAAAAUCAAAUCACAAACAAAAAAAUGUUCGAUUUAUAUGCACAUACAUACACAUAAAAAAUAAAAGGGUAAGUGCGCUAAUGUAAUAUAAUAUUUUUAGUGUCAUGAUUAAUAUUUGUGACGUUAAAAGUCUCAGUUACCGUGAAGAGAAUCCCAGCGGUAUUCAUAUUUGCCUUAACAUGAAUGUAGGCAUGUGAAUGCCAGUGCAUCUUUGUGAAUAUUUGAUUGCUCUGUUUCUGUGACGAGACAGAAUAUUGCUCUCAGUUAAACUUUGUGUACAUAAAUUUUUGAAGCAAAAUGCGCUGUAUAAACGUAAUAAAAUGCGUUACUUCUACCUCUACUGCUCUACUCAAGAUCAUGAUUCAUGCAUAGAGUGUACUUAUUGUAUGUAAGUAAGUAUCUAAUUGUAUUGUUUUUUCUUAUUCAUAAAAAUUUGUUUGUUUGUAUUUGCAGUGAUUUUGAUACUAGCCCGGAAAUAAUGUAAUGAAAUGACGAAAUAAUAAGUUAGUUAAUGGCGCGUUAUUUAUUUCAUUAACUUAAGCAACUAAAUAA
This is an RNA transcript of Rhagoletis zephyria (snowberry fruit fly), 2365 nucleotides long. It is a transcript of the gene named Annexin B9, with no coding region annotated. The record is from RefSeq and is a predicted model, not a curated record. Lineage: Eukaryota; Metazoa; Arthropoda; Insecta; Diptera; Tephritidae.